GACGAACGCUGGCGGCGUGCUUAACACAUGCAAGUCGAACGGAAAGGCCCUGCUUUUGUGGGGUGCUCGAGUGGCGAACGGGUGAGUAACACGUGAGUAACCUGCCCUUGACUUUGGGAUAACUUCAGGAAACUGGGGCUAAUACCGUAUAGGAUCUCCUGCUGCAUGGUGGGGGUUGGAAAGUUUCGGCGGUUGGGGAUGGACUCGCGGCUUAUCAGCUUGUUGGUGGGGUAGGGGCUUACCAAGGCUUGGACGGGUAGCCGGCCUGAGAGGGUGACCGGCCACAUUGGGACUGCGAUACGCCCCAGACUCCUACGGUAGGCAGCAGUGGGGAAUAUUGCACAAUGGGCCGAAGCCUGAUGAAGCAACGCCGCGUGCGGGAUGACGGCCUUCGGGUUGUAAACCGCUUUCGCCUGUGACGCAGCGUGAGUGACGGUACUGGGUAAAGAAGCACCGGCUAACUACGUG
Molecule: ribosomal RNA, 468 nt
Filed under: uncultured bacterium
Lineage: Bacteria
Description: partial 16S ribosomal RNA
Rfam family: Bacterial small subunit ribosomal RNA
Source: RNAcentral